Molecule: ribosomal RNA, 253 nt
Filed under: uncultured bacterium
Lineage: Bacteria
Description: partial 16S ribosomal RNA
Rfam family: Bacterial small subunit ribosomal RNA
Source: RNAcentral
GACGUAGGGGGCAAGCGUUGUCCGGAAUCAUUGGGCGUAAAGAGCGUGUAGGCGGCCCGAUAAGUCCGCUGUGAAAAUCCAGGGCUCAACCCUGGGAUGCCGGUGGAUACUGUCGGGCUCGAGUCCGGAAGAGGAGUGUGGAAUUCCUGGUGUAGCGGUGGAAUGCGCAGAUAUCAGGAGGAACACCGGUGGCGAAGGCGGGUCUCUGGGCAGUAACUGACGCUGAGGAGCGAAAGCGUGGGGAGCGAACAGG